Rosa rugosa (rugosa rose) is the source of this 543-nucleotide long non-coding RNA. RefSeq lists it as uncharacterized. Lineage: Eukaryota; Viridiplantae; Streptophyta; Magnoliopsida; Rosales; Rosaceae. The transcript has 3 exons. The record is from RefSeq and is a predicted model, not a curated record.
AUAGUUCCGUACCCUUCUAUCAAUGUUAAAAUUUCUAUGUCCUUAAAUGGAGUUUUUUUUUUUUCCUUCUUAUUCAUAUAUGCAAUCCUGCUUGCUCAGUAGUUCUUAUUCUCUAGUGUGUGAUGUUAGGUUUCAUUGGUAUUGAUGCAAUUGUUAUCAAACAUGGUAAUGAUAACAACAGCACAAUUGGACUCAAGGUGUGAAAAGACUUGUCUUUGCAGCUGAUUUUGGCUUCGCAAAUCACUUGUUACCAGGGUAUUAUGUAUUAAAGGAUCCUCUAAGAUAUUGGUAGGUGUCUGAAACUAUUUUUGGUUUUGGUUUUGUUUGCUGGAGUUUGAAAGGUUUGCUGAAGUUUCCAGAAUCUAGUGAAGAUGGAGAAAAGACGCUUUCCAAUCACCAAGUAUUUCAUAGUUUGCACUUCAGUAUAUAAAUUUUGCCUAUCAGACAUGAGCUUUUUGUAUUUUAAUUUUGUGAAUUUUGAACAUUGCUGAGAUGUAUGAAAUUAGUGUAACAUUCUCUUUCUGUAAAACUUUUAUCCAAAAA